RNAcentral lists this long non-coding RNA (5804 nucleotides) under Sus scrofa (pig). RNAcentral describes it as "lncRNA (ENSSSCG00000059017.1)". The record is from RNAcentral. Lineage: Eukaryota; Metazoa; Chordata; Mammalia; Artiodactyla; Suidae.
GAAACAGGGGCCUCCUGACUCCCUGUCCAGUGCUACCUACCCAGCUGCCUCCACUGCUGGAGAGGGGCUGGGUCCAAACAUAUUGGUCAAGUCCUCCUUCUAGAAUCCCCUUUCUCUAGCCCCUCCUUCCUACUCCCAGCUGGAGCCCAGGACCCUCCCUCCCCUGAGGCGGUUUCUAUCAGAUGAAAAUCCCUAAGCCCCUUCCUAGGGACGCUGGGUGUGGGGGGAGCAGAUAACCAGUUCUCUGGGUCUUUCUCACCCAAGUUCCUACAUGUCCUUCCCAGAUGAUGAACCCACCUGCGGUGGUCAUCUCUGGUGGUGAAAUCCCAAGCACAGGCAGGCUGGGAGGAAGGCAGGGAGCAGAGGGUUUGGGGCUGGGCCCCGUCUUCUCUGGCUGCCCCUGAUUGUGCCCAAGGCUACCUGUUCCACCCCUCUGCCUCCCAGGAGCACCGUGUUCCUUCUGUGCUGCACACAGUGUCUUUUGUGAACCCUCUGGCUGGGACUUUCAGUGACAGCUCUUCUAAGGAGCUGGUUAGCAUUUUCUCCAGACCCAGCCAGAAAUUCUGGAAGGUAAUGGGCAGGCUGAGCCUGCAGAGAGUGAUAAAAGGGAAUGAUUAGUCUUGGGCUCCUAAAAGGACAGCAUCCGCAUCUUCAGUUCUCUCCCACCUUCCCUGUCGGGGAACCUGUGCUCAUGACCUUCAGAGGCAUCAAUUCUCCCUCUGUCUCUUCUUCCUUACCUGGGGCCUCAUUCUUUUGCCUUUGGCUGUCUGCCAGCUGAUGCCCACCUGCUGCCUGCUGGCCACAGUAAGGUCAGGUAGGACCUCCCAGGGUCAGUGAUGCCUGAAGGGAGCAGUCAUGGUGGGAAGACGGCAGUGGGAUUGAUACCUCAAGGCACACAAUUGUCUUUACCUGAACUCGGGAUGUGAAAACCUCUGUUUGGUGGGAGAGUCAUAGAGGAUUCGAUGUUGAGAAAGCAACAGAGAUGUGAUGCCAUAAACAAUAUCCUAGACAAGACCAUUUCCAAGAUUUUGAAUGGCAAGAGGUACCCCCAAGGCAAAUUCUCCCCAACAGGUUGUAAGAGGAAAAUGGCAGGAUAUUUUCAAUGGGAGCAAAUAUUAUUUGCUCACCGUUCAGUUCCCAGAACCCACAGCCUUGCUAAUUCCACUAAAGUGGAACCCAGUUCUCCAACCACUGAGCAGCAUUUCAGAUGUUUAAUGGGGCUCUUGGUUGCCACACUGAGCCAGCUAAUGAAAAAGCUCAAUCAUCACUCCCAGGCUCCGAGUCCUCUCCCCUUCAGGUGCUCCCCUUGCCCCAGUGCACUUGCUGGGUAAGCGUGGCACUUGGCCUCCACCCAGUGCCUGGUGGGGCCGAUGGGAAGUUUAGCUGAAGCUGGCUCUGUCUAUUGGGCUUCAACCUCCUAUCAGAAAUCGGGUUGGCAGAAAAAAAAUUCCACUCAAAAUGAGUCUUGAAAAAAAGCCACAUCCAUUUCUCUAUAGGCUGGACUGUCUCUGCAGGGAAGGGGUGCUUGUUGCGGAACUUAACCCUGGGGCUCCUGGUAACAGGGCUGGUGAUGUUUUCCUUUUGAGUCAGUUCCAGAAAGUGACUAUGACAAACAGGGGCCUGGGAAAAUUGAAAACCCUGCUCAGAAUUGGCAAUGAGAAAACCAAGAGGAUCAAGCAGCAAGCAGGCGGGAGGCUGGCUGCUCCCCACCCCCAGCCCUGCUCCUGCCCAGAUAGCUGCAGAGACCAUAAGAGUGGUUGGUCUUUACUCAGUGGUCCCUUGGUCUUCCAGGUGUGGCAGCAGUCCUGACCUCUACCAAGGUCCUCUGGGGGCACAUUUUAAUUAUCUUGUGGGAGGAUGCUCAAGUUGAGAUUACCAGGUAGGAUGGAGGUGGAACAUCUUGCAUGACACCAGCCAGAAACUGCCUGCAUGAUUAGACAAUAGAAAAUAUGCCCUCUAGUCCUCAGAUCAUAUGGGUUCUUGAAGCAGCACUGUGUGUCCCAUGUGCUUUGCCAUUGCUCCUUCAUAUACCCCCUUGCGACACUACCACAUCUAAUUAGCUCUGUGGCUGGGGGCAACAAGGUACAGUCACUGCUCUCAAGGUACUCAAAGUCCAGUGGAAGAGAUGGGUAAUUAAACAAGCAAUGGACUGUAGCAUCACAGCAGGGUGAGAGCCUCCAUCAAACAGAGAGCUUAUUCUCAGGGUAACUCCUGUCCCCUCAGUUCCAACUCCUCACCCCUCCCUGUCCUUGCCCUGGAGUAUCUUCUCCAUUCAAUCUGGGUCUCAAACCUAAUUCUUUUCCAUGCAACUCCAGUAGCUGUUUACAGUACCCAGAUUCCAGACUGCAGAUGGGUGCUGGUCCAUGAGGUUUUUCCAGUCUAGGGUGACGUGAGAACAGAAGGCAAAGUAGCAACUCUUUAAGAUGCUACGGGUAUUCAGUUUAAAAAACUUCCCCUUGUUCUAAGAGUCUGUUCUGUCUGUGUGUUGGGAUGUUAAAACAUUCUUUCUUUUGUUAAAUGGUGGUGUUUGUAGAUUGUACAUUUCUGUUGAGUUUAAUUUUAGUAUUUUGACAGGGCAGAAGAAAACAGUGACAGCUCAAAGUCUGGGAAGCAGUGCUCAACAAGCAGCUCAUCACUGAAAUUAGCACCCACAUCCAAACCCAAGCAGGAGCCCCUAGCGUGUCUUAGUAUCUGAUUUUCCAGUCUAUUGCAGAGUGGCAGAGCUGCCAUAUUCAAAUUCCACUCACUUCCCCAAGACACUUAGCUGCCUGUGCCAGCCAAGUCCUUAAAUAGAAACUACUGUUUUCUUGGCGUCCCAGGCUCCUGUAUGUUUAAUGCCUUGAGUGUCCAAUUUCUGGGCCAAACUCAUGAAAAUCUAAAGGGGAAUUAUCUGUCUCAGAAAGCAGCUGCAAUGGAAAUAAAAGCCAUGAGUACUUGGUGUUAUCAGAAUGUUUAAUUUUUCAUUGAAAUUUCAAGAUAAAAGUCGAUCUUGAGAAUUGUGUUAACUGAGAUCUCCAGCUCCCACUGAAAUGCAGCACAGAGACUGCUGGAAAAGACACCAGUACCCCAGCUUGUGGGAGCCUUUUGGGGACCCCAUGUCUACCUUCUUAGACAGGGAACUUUGUGGUCCAAGCAUCUGCUCUGGUUAAAUCAAGUCCCAUAUUACAUCUGGUUACACUGCCAUUCUAGGUAUAAUCCAAGGCAUUGAAUGUCCCCCAUGAAGCUGGAUGGAGAGAAGAAAAUAUCCACCAGGCAAACCAAAUCCCAAUGAUACAAGUGGUAAAGUCCAAAUUCUUGGGCUGCAGUCGAAUGUUUCUGAGGUUGUUUAAAAUGAAUGUUUAGGAGUUCCCGUCGUGGCGCAGUGGUUAACGAAUCCGACUAGGAACCAUGAGGUUGCGGGUUCGGUCCCUGCCCUUGCUCAGUGGGUUAACGAUCCGGUGUUGUCAUGAGCUGUGGUGUAGGUUGCAGACGCGGCUCAGAUCCCGCAUUGCUGUGGCUCUGGCAUAGGCCAGUGGCUACAGCUCCGAUUCAACCCCUAGCCUGGGAACCUCCAUAUGCCGUGGGAGCGGCCCAAGAAAUAGCAACAACAACAAAAAGACCAAAAAAAAAAAAAAAAUUUAAAAUGAAUGUUUAAAAGUUGUUUAAAAUGAAUGAGUCAUUCUAGGUUCAGCCACUUGGUUGUAAGGAGUGUUUUGUUUUACCCACUUGGCAAUGUUGGCUUUGCUCUGUGAUGCUGAUUGCAAAGGAGACCCUCAUGUUUGGACUGAGUACAUCUUGAGGUCAAGGAUAUUCCUCAUGUGUGAGGUUGGUGGACACUCUUCUCCUUCUGCCCAUCUCUCCCCUGGGACCCAACAUAGCUCUUGGCACAAAAGAGGCCCAGAAAUUGUGGGUGGUGACAAUGACCAUGCAAAUAACAUCUAAAACAUACUGUGUUUUAGACAGAAUCAGUUUCUGGCAAUUUCUACUUGAUCUAAUAUGACCACUUAAUCAUUAAUGUUUUUUGUUUUUAUUUUUAUGGCUGCACCCAUGGCAUGUGGAAGUUCUCUGGGCAGGGACCGAAUCCACAGCUGCAGCAAAGCCAGAUCCUUAACCCAUUGUGCCAGGCCAGGGACAGAACCCAUGCCUCCACAGAGACCCAAGCCACUGCAGUCAGAUUCCUAACCCACUGUACCACAGCAGGAACUCCUUUAACGUUUUUAACUUGCCUAUUUGAUUUUUUAAAAGCUCUAUUGAAGUAUAGUGGAUUUACAAUGUUGUGCCUAUUCAAUCAUCAAAAGAAAAUUCUUUCUUUGACUUGAUCAUUGAGUUCGGUGUGUAACCCUAAGGAAAGGAAGGAGUGGGAGUCUGAAGCCAGUGGGCAGCAAGGGCCUCCGGGUGAGCAGUCUGUGUUCUGAGUCUUGGUCUCCUAGUUCCCUGGAACCUCCCUUUCCGGCUUAUUCAGGGGAUGAGCCAAAGUGAAGAGCAACAGUCUUGGUCCAUUUGAACUUGUGCAGCUCUGUUUGGUUUGCCUGGGCCAUUAAGCCAACAGUCUUUCCUUCCCGCUGAACCCAUGCCUCUUGUGGCAGGCAGCCUUCUGGCUGGUCAGCCUUGAGUUCUGGCAAGAACCCUUGUAGCAGGCUCUAGGGGAUGUUUUUCAUCAUGGAUUUGCCGUCAACUGGUUGGUGAUGUAUCACCCUGGGCAAGUCUCUUUAUCUCUCUGGGUCAUGGUUUCCUUGUAUGUCAAACAUGUUGGAUUAGAUCAGAAUUUCUCAGUCUUGGCCCCACUGACAUGAUGGGUCAUAUGUUUUUGAUGUGAAGCUGUCCCAUGCAGGGGAAGAUGCUCGGCAGCAUUCUGGCCUCUGCCCUCGAGAUACCAGGAUCCCUCCUCCCCUCUUUUGUGACAAUAACAAUCUCCAGGCAUUUUCAAAUAUCUGCUGGGGAAGUUCCCUGGUGGUCUAGCAGUUAAGGACAUGGCAUUGUCAUUGCUGUGGCUUGGAUUUGGUCCCUGGUCCCAGAACUUCUGCAUGUAGUGGGUCAGCCAAAAAAAAAAAAAAAUAGUCGUUACCUUACCCUAUUCUCUUGCACUCCUACAAUAUGCUAGGCAAUGUAUUAGGUUUUACAGCCUAAAUUUAUUAUUAUUAAUGGCUGCACCUGCAGCAUAUGGAAAUUCCCAGGCUAGGGGGUCAAAUGGAGCUGCAGCUGCCGGCCUACACCACAGCCACAGCAAUGCCAGAUGUGAACCACGUCUAUGACCUACACCACAGCUCAAGGCAACAAUGGAUCCUUAAACCCACCAAUCAAGGCCAGGGAUCGAACCCACAUCUUCAUGGAUAUUUGAUGAAUUCUUAACCCGCUGAGUGACAAUGGGAACUCCCUAAAUAUUUUUUAUAUUGUAUUAAGAAUUCUAUUUUAUAGGUAUUCUAUUCUAUUUUAUUAGAUUAAGAUGGUGUCUACACAGGCAUUAAGGUAAAGAGUGAAAGAAUGAGAAUCCUCCUUUGUAUUCUUACUAGCUUCAUUCGUAAAACAGCAACUUCACCCAUUGUUGUCAGGACUUAAUUCUCAGUGCACAUAAAAUCACGAAGAUCAGGAGUUCCCGUCAUGGCGCAGUGGUUAACGAAUCCGACUAGGAACCAUGAGGUUGCGGGUUCGGUCCCUGCCCUUGCUCAGUGGGUUAAGGAUCCGGCGUUGCCGUGAGAUGUGGUGUAAGUUGCAGACGCAGCUAGCAUCCUGUGUUGCUGUGGCUCUAGCGUAGGCCUGUGGCUACAGCUCCAACUAGACCCCUAGCCUGGGAACCUCCAUAUGCCGUGGAAGCGGCCCAAAGAAAU